AAAUGGAAAUGGCAAGAUUGAUCUUUUGAUAGUUCACAUAAAAUUAAUGUAGAAAAGAAAAUUAUUCAUAAUAAAAUUGUCGUACUUAUACAUGUUGCUAAUACAGAAGGAAGGAAUAAAUCUAUAAGUGAAGCAGAUAAAGUGCGCAUAACUAACAAAAGAAGUGUCAUUCAGGAUAUCUUUGAUGAUUGGGGCAUUGAAAAUGCAGAAGAUGACAGUCAGUCGGUAUCUAAAGCUCCAGAUACUGUGGAAAUUGAAUUGAAAAGUUUACUAAAUGACACAAAAACACGAACUAUAGAGGAAAGCACAGUUGUACUGGUUGAAGAAGAAAUUACAUGCAUGGAAAAAGAACCAGUUGUAGAUGCUGAAAAGGCUUUAGAAGUUGCUAAACAAAACAAAGAAAUGCAAGUAUCAAAGGAACAACUGGAUAACAAUCAAACUAUAAAGAAACAACAAGAUAGUAUAAAACCAUUACUCAAAGACCACUAACUCAUUCUAUAUCACAGGCUGUUAGAAAGUCUACAAAAGAUUCAACACGUGAUACUGCGGCAUUUCGUCAAACUUAGCAAAUUAUCCCUAUUAAUCGUAGUCGAAAUUUAACCAGCCAACAACCUUCACAGGUUGAAAUAGCAAAAGCAUAUACCACGACGAAGAAGAACAAGUACAAGUCGAACCAGUCAGAGUCCAAUUCCAUCGCUCCAUACUGAGGAAACACCAAGAUUUUGGAGGACCAAAAUCAAUCUAAAGAGGGGGGUAUGUGACAUCAAUCACAUCUCAACCUACAUCAGUGAUAAUACAUCGACACCCGACCUUCGGACACUUUUGGACACAUCACCACCUUAUCAUCAUAGCAUACACCAAGGCUGUGACGCACCUCCGUCCACAUCAGAGAUAGGAUAUGGACCCCCGACCUUCGGAUACUUUUCUACAUCAUAACCUACACCUAGCCCCUCAACAUCCUAAAACCAAAACGUAUAUAAACCGAGACUUCACCCAGCUCGGGCAGUUCUUGUUCCUCUUCUAGUUGCUGUACUCAUACAACCCCUAUUCUCCGGUUCGGUGUUAUUUUGUAAGUGUUUAUAAUAAAGUUUUAUAAAGGAAAAUAAGUAGUUGGGUUACGACUCAGCCUUCUUACUACCACCCAAGUACCAACUUUACGUGACAGGAGCCGCCUCGGACCUAAGACUGAUAAUAUAGGACUUGGGUUAAGUAGUAGAAAGGUAGUCGCGAUACACUAUGUGGUUUUUAAUAGUUCUUACACACGGUGUGUACGCGAACCUUUCCCACCAAACUAGAUUAAGAGUGGGGCCGCUCCACUGGGAUACGUCGCAAGAGAGGGUAGGAGAUCCGACCGGCCUUGGAUACAGUGUCCAGCCGUGGGAGGGAGGAAUCCGUCUUCAAUGUCUCUGCCAUGUACAUAGCUUUGUUUCCCCCUCCUUCCAUUGUGUCUAAGGCAUGAGCCUGCUAGGUAAGCCUUACUGAUGAGUCCACUAGCAGGCUCUGGACGAAACACACUUUUUUUCUUCUUUUUCUCCGUCUUCCUUCAUAUAUCCGUGAUAAUUAUGUCGUGGAAGAAACAUCGGACUUUGGAAAAGUACGAGGCGCCGGGAUUUGAACCCGGGAUCCGAACGUUUGUACUCUAUGGCGCUAACCACUGCGCUGCCGUCGUCCGACACUAGUUGGUUUCGAGUGGUGAGAUUUGCGUUCUCGUGUGCCGCCACGAGAGGAAAUCUCAGUGUGGGUGUGCUUUCUGAACGAAGAACGCGGAUUCGUUGUUCACACUUUUCGUUAGGAAAGUGAGGGUGCCCAUUGAUUAUAGCCAACGUUAAUGAACGAAGAUAGGAGGAGGAAGCCUCCUACCAACGUGGCUCGUGGGUGACAUUGUUUAUUGGAAAAAUAACUACCCGCUUUCUCCGUUAUUUGUAAGAGUGCGCAAUAAACCUAAGUAUUGUUCUAAGGACCAUCCAUAAACCGAAAACACUUACAGGGUUAGAGAUUCCUUCAAGCUAUUAAGAUUACGUCAAAGGAUUCAGUUUAUAGUAUAUAGUAUGUAGUAGAUCAGUAUAUAGUAUAAAGCUUCAGACGGCGCACGGACCAUCGUACGCGCCGUAACAUAGAGAGUUAUAAGAAUAUACAUAAAAUAUAAUUAAACAUCGCAAAAGUAACUUAAUUAGAAAUGACUAGAAUGUAUGAUGUAUAAUAUAAUGAAUUCAAAUUGUCUAAAAAAUACUACAAAUUUAUAGAGAUUUUACUAUAAAAUGUUUUUAACAGAAGCUGAUACAGUUAUAUAGCAUUUUCAAGCAUUUACGAACAUUAAUGUACGAAUUUGAAAUUAGCAAUAUUGAAGCGCGGUACUCGGAAAGACGAAUGUACAUGGAUAAUUGUAUGCACUCAUCAACGAUACGUUUAUAAUUGCAUGCUUGAUAGAAAAAUAUCAUCGUAAAAUUGAUAUGAUUUCAUGGAAACGCGUCUAACUUGGUAUCUCGAAAGUAUCUUAAGCAAACUAAUUAGCGUGCCUGUUAUGUCUUUUAAAAUGUAAAUUAACAUGUAACAAAGAAACCUUCAUCAAUUUGAUUCGCUUCAAACUGCGCAAAUAAGUAGUAUAAAUAAUAUUUGUGAUAGAUUUGGCAUCAAUUCCAUGUUUCCUUUAAUAUUUGCCUUUAGAAAGUCCAAUUCGUUUCACGAUUAUACAAAUUACUAAAAAAAUGUCUAUAUUAGUAAUUUAUUUAUUUUGCAUUAAUCGUGACAUGUUAGUUGCAUUAUGUUAUAUGUAAACUACCACAGAGGAAAAAUGAUAAUCUUUCAGUUAUUAGUUUUCUGAUUUUAAUGUCAUUUUAUGAGUACUUUAACACGAGGUACUUGUAAAUGAAAACAACCAAUUAGGUCUAAAAACAUAAGCCUGUUACCAAGACUCUUAUUAAAUUGAACAAGCUUUUCAAAAAUCGAACGUGUAUAUUAACGCGAACUUAUUAUUUGACUGAUUUGACUGAUUUGACUGACAUCCGAAAUUGGUGAGAUCAUAUGAAAUUUUGCUUUUCGCGGUUCGGUGUAUAAGAACGCGUCACCGAUUGCUCAACUUUCGAUAUAAAAAGCGGAUCAAGUCUACCGGAUUAUCCUACAGACACGCAUUAAUUCGUAAGAGUUAGUCAUCAUCUGGAUAAUAAUUAUCUGAAGAAACUUUCAACGUGAAAAUAUAAAAUUUUCAUUGAUUACAUAUUGCGUUCGCCAUAAUUGAAAAAAUGGUAAACCUUCGAUCUCAUCUUUCUAAUACACAUUUUCUUUACCUCGUGAUAAAUAAAUUCUUGGAAAUUUAGGAAAAUUUUCAGUGAUCAUUUUAAGGAAUUUGACAAAUUUCCAACGAGACUAUGUGACACCGUUAGGUAAAAGUGAUUCAAAUGUAGUAGCGAUAUUAAACGAGAAAUCUAUAAAGGUGUCAUUAGAAAUUCUAAGAAUGUCUCUGCAUCUUUAUCUUAGGUAUUACGCCAAUAGUUUUCAUUACCGUGAUGUAAUAUUUAUCAUGCUUAUUUUGUACGUAAAACGAAUCGUUGGAAUAUUCCCGCAGCUAACGAAGCAUCUCCCAAAAGUUAAACCGAAGAAAUUAACGCGAAUAGUUAAGUGAAAUUUUUCCAUUAACUUGCUGACCAACCGGCAAAUAAAAAAUCAUAAAAAUUGUUUCAAUGUGUUGAGGUCACGCAUAACUUCUUUUUUCAUUGACGAUUACCAAACAGGUAAAAUUUCGAAAUUGUACGAAGGCCACGUGACCAGAUCGUAUUGGAAUUGGAAGUGCAUGGAAAAAGACAACUCGAAGUACAAACCUUGAGCUGUACUACUCGAAGUACAAACGUGAACUAAUGGAUGCAGAAAAGCAAUUAACGCCAAACAUCCGAACAGCAUCUUGGAGCCCGUCAUUGUUCUGAAAUAAAAGAAGUGACGAAUUAAAAAGACGCAGGACUAAUAAUAAUAAAGGAAACUUAGUUCGUAUUAUAAAUUGAAUUUACAUCAGAAAAGAAGCACGAUCAAGCGAAACAGAUCGUAGAAAUGACAAAUAUCAUCGAUAUACGUUUCAGUGUAAUUUCACUUUUGAAAAUUAUUUAGUUUAAUACGAUCGUAUUCAUCGCUCUGAAACUUUCAUUGUGCUGCAAUUUGUGCUGCGUCUUUUUAAUUUCUCUAUCUUUCUGUGUUUUCGGAAAAAUUACUUGAAAGAUUAAGAAUUGCUUGCCUUAUUUUAUUUUCGAUUAGUUAGGAUUUGAUUAUUCCAGGUAAGGUUUAUUAUUUAUAACAGGUUUUAUCACUUGUUUAUUAUUUAGGAGUUUGUUAUUUUAGGAUUAGUACCUUUUAGGAUUUCUUAUCCUUCGAGUUUCUGUUUCAGAUAUCUAGGUCUAUUUCAAGAUGUUUUAUUACAUUAGGAUUAUUUAUUCGAUUAAGAUAAUUUAAGAGUUUCACAAUGUACAAAGAAAUAAUCGCGUGAAAUUUAGAUUUAUGCUUUAAACGUAUUAAACACGCGGUAAUUUCAAUGUCUAUAGCCUCGAACGUGUUCUGAUUAGUUGUGUCAUUGUCUGUGACAUUGAAAUCACAAAAAUCCAUUGCAAGUGUGCUGUCAUGCAAUGUGGAUGUAAUUGGGUUUUUUGGGUAUUUCCUGUAUCAUCUGAUUUGUACAGUACUAUUUUAACGCAAGGACAGGAAAGUUAUUAUAUAUUUCCCGUCCAUUAUUUGAAUCGUUGUGAAGUGUAACGAAUUAUAUUCGAUUCGAGGAGAUGUUAAUGAAUUACCCAUUUCAUAUGUAAUUACGUGGAAAUAAAAAUCAUUGCAAAAAUAAUUGAUCUAAUGACAACGGAAUUUCCAAUAUUUUUUUGUUUCGUCACGUCUUUUUCAUAAUAUAUCUUUUAUAGGUACGUGAUUUAUUAAUCGUUCGAAUGGAAAUAAUUAUUCGUAUAAUAUUCAAACGAUUCUAGCCAUAAAAUAAAUUAAAACGAUACCUGUAAUGCAAUCUGCGUAUGACGUCAACCUCGAUCUAUGCUUAUACAAGAAAUUUUAUCAAUUAAUGACUAGAUAUACAAUAAUCAAAUAUUAUAAAAUUUCCUGAAAACCUUUAGGUGUUAAUAUUAAGGUGUUAAUAUCUUUAAUAUUUGCAAGUUAUUGUUUAGCGCUAAUUAGUUAGAAUGUAACAAGUGGUAUACCAGAAUUGAGAUAAUUAAGCCACACGAACAAUCUUAUUUAGAUCUUUUUAAUUUUUUAAUUCUCUUUUGCUCUAAUACUUCGUAAAAUUAAUCUUCAUUAGCUACUACACUUCAUAGAAUAACAAGAGAUAAUUUUUCUUAUAUAACGUUUCAUUCAUAAAAUCUAUCAUUAAAGUAUAUCUUCAUAAAAAUAUUAUUCCAUACUAACGGUAUAUUUGGUGUCAUACGAGAUAACAGAUACCAGUGAUGACAUAUGUAACUUUAUAAAGAUAUCUCGUUUUAUUAUAUAUUAAAAGAAUGUACUCAUUGCUGCUAUAUUUCAGAUGAAAAAAAGGAGGCAAUGAUUUUACAGUAAAAUCGUUCGUUUACAACUGAUUCAUUUACAUUUCAUGAUAAUACUGUGCAUUCUGAAUAUGCUAUGAUUUGGUUUAAAAUAAUAAAUAGUCCAUUCUUGCAUACUAUUGCUCCAGCUUUACUUGUAUUUUCGAUAUUGGUAUAAAUAGAAAGACAAUUAAUGUCGUUCGAGUCUAUUUUCGGAUCAUUUAUAUUACGUUUAAUCCAUAUAGUUAUUAUAUGAGACAUAGUAUCGUAAAAUUUGGAAGAAUAAAACGUUCGUACAGGAAGUACAUUUUAUAAGAACUCCAACAAAUCUGCGUGUGCACCUAAAAUACAAACCGAUAGUGAUUGUUCAUAAGUUUAUAUACAUUAUCUAAUGUCAAUCGAAG
This is a long non-coding RNA of Bombus huntii, 5902 nucleotides long. RefSeq lists it as uncharacterized. The record is from RefSeq and is a predicted model, not a curated record. NCBI's taxonomy places the organism in Eukaryota, Metazoa, Arthropoda, Insecta, Hymenoptera, Apidae. The transcript is spliced from 2 exons.